CUUUCACGUCAGCGAUGAAUGGGGCUGUAAUCGCAUCUCAAUCGCAGAUCUGUUACCAGCCACUCACCUUGGCAAUGGAGGCUCGCGGGUGGUGAGCCUUCGUCUUAGCGUUCUCCUCAUAGAGAAGGCAGACUCCCAGCUGAAGGUGGAUCCACGCCACGGCGCCCGUCCGGGCGUUUCAAUCGGGAGAGACCAGUCAGAUAAAGAAAAUAUCAUUAUUUAGCAUGUGAUUAUAAAGUCUUACAGGGAAAUACUGAUUCACGAGACAUAAACUAUGGGUUCAGGCAUUCAGGAGGAUGAUGUUCUCGACUGAACUCACGCUACAGCUCCACGGAGCCUCCAGGUUGGAGAUUUUGCCGUUGCCAUCUUGUUUUACCAUAUCUGGAGGACCUGUCAAUCACGGUUCAAUCAGCGCGAACCGCCUGCAGGAAGCAUCGGCCAUCGAAGAACAAACUCACGCACAGCGGAACACGAUUGCAUUAUCGCGGGUUCACCGACGAGAACGGACAUUGUUCAUUAUACAACGCGAACACUGGAAGACAGAAGAGCGUCCACAACAUCGUCCAUCUCUCAUCAUUGUGUCGCAUUUGGGACCUAAAGAGAGGAUCCGUGUAAAACGGGGAACAGUGAGAUCCCUUCGGAGGCCCGUUGAGCCGUAACGAGCGUCUCAUCAGGCCUCUGGAAUGCUCCACCCGGCUGCACUCACGUCACUCCGUUAGACGUCCACGAUCUGAGACAAGUCGCUGCCCAUCUGACGUGUGCUGGCUCAUCAACGUCAAUCUUUCUGCCUCUUUAAACACGUGACCCAAAGUCAACGAGAGACUCAUGUGGGUGCUUUGAGUCAGACGUGAAGCUCUGUGAUUGUCAGGCUGCUUCAUUCGGCGUGACUAGAGUUUCUGCAUCAGAGAACUCAAAAAUGUCUCUUUUAACUCCCACGAGUCAUAAAAAAUCAUUUCUAUGAUCGUUUAAGUAACAGAAAUUCGAAAAGGCUGGAAUCUGUAACCAACUUUUUUAGGAAAAACGGUGAGCAGGUGGGGAGGAAGGAGUCAAACACGGGACCUGCAGCCAGGUGUCUCAGGUGAAACCAACAAUGUCUCAUCUAAGUCGGUUAGUUUUGCCUCAUUUCAAAUAUUCACUAAUUCCAAGUUACAAAACAAAUGUUUCUGAUUGGUUUCAUCACAGUUAACAUGAGAUAUGAAAAAGAUAAAAACCUCUCGGCUAGUGUCAACACCUUGUCUCCAGAUGUUCAUCACUCAUUAUCGCUUCUUCUACUGUCGGUUCUACCUGAGUAGCUUCAGCCUGAAAGGAAGAUGAUUCCUUUAUAAUUGUGAGGUGACGGCAUGAAAAGCUAUGCGAGCUGAAAUUGAACCUUGAUCAUAUAGGUGCAUUUCAUAACUUGAAUUGGCAGUUAAAGAUUGAACGGUUGAUUAAAAUCCAUUUCAUUCAGUUGAAUGUUGAAAGUUUAGGAGCAAUUGUUACUUUAAUGUUAUAAGUAUGUGGGUUUAUUAUACACACAUAUAUGUAUGUAUAUCUAUCUAUAUAA
Long non-coding RNA from Gasterosteus aculeatus aculeatus (three-spined stickleback), 1543 nucleotides. The record is from Ensembl. NCBI's taxonomy places the organism in Eukaryota, Metazoa, Chordata, Actinopteri, Perciformes, Gasterosteidae.